AGUGAACGCUGGCGGUAGGCCUAACACAUGCAAGUCGAACGGCAGCACAGUAAGAGCUUGCUCUUACGGGUGGCGAGUGGCGGACGGGUGAGGAAUACAUCGGAAUCUACUUUUUCGUGGGGGAUAACGUAGGGAAACUUACGCUAAUACCGCAUACGACCUACGGGUGAAAGCAGGGGAUCUUCGGACCUUGCGCGAUUGAAUGAGCCGAUGUCGGAUUAGCUAGUUGGCGGGGUAAAGGCCCACCAAGGCGACGAUCCGUAGCUGGCCUGAGAGGAUGAUCGGCCACACUGGAACUGAGACACGGUCCAGACUCCUACGGGAGGCAGCAGUGGGGAAUAUUCGACAAUGGGCGCAAGCCUGAUCCAGCAAUACCGCGUGAGUGAAGAAGGCCUUCGGGUUGUAAAGCCCUUUUGUUGGGAAAGAAAAGCAGCAGGUUAAUACCCCGCUGUUCUGACGGUACCCAAAGAAUAAGCACCGGCUAACCUCGUG
RNAcentral lists this ribosomal RNA (492 nucleotides) under uncultured bacterium. RNAcentral describes it as "partial 16S ribosomal RNA". It matches the Rfam family "Bacterial small subunit ribosomal RNA", at positions 29 to 507 of the family's 1533-position model. The record is from RNAcentral.